This 1122-nucleotide long non-coding RNA is filed under the name Camelus dromedarius (Arabian camel). Its description in RNAcentral is "lncRNA (ENSCDRG00005004308.1)". Lineage: Eukaryota; Metazoa; Chordata; Mammalia; Artiodactyla; Camelidae. The record is from RNAcentral.
CUGUCUCUCAGCACCAGACACAAUUUACUGUGAUCUACCUCAUACUGAAACUGUUUGAACUGUCCUUGGCAGGGCGUUGCUGGCAAACCAGGCCCUCGGGGUCAGCGAGGUCCAACGGGUCCUCGAGGUUCGAGAGGUGCGAGGGGUCCAACUGGGAAACCCGGUCCCAAGGUAUCAUCAGCAUUUGUUCCAUUUGGGCUCUGCUGUAAGGGCCUCUUCCAGAGGACGGAUGUUACCAGAAGAAGGAAUCAAAACUGAUUUUUCUUUUCUGUUUUGUUGCUGUUGUUGUUCCUGCCAGGGCACUUCAGGUGGUGAUGGUCCUCCUGGCCCUCCUGGUGAAAGAGGGCCUCAAGGACCCCAGGGUCCAGUUGGAUUCCCUGGACCAAAAGGUCCUCCUGGACCACCUGGGAAGGAUGGCCUGCCGGGACACCCUGGGCAACGUGGGGAGACUGGAUUUCAAGGCAAGACUGGCCCUCCUGGUCCAGGAGGUGUUGUUGGACCACAGGUACAUUCCAUUACAUUAUUUCCCUAACAAGAUUUAUUGUUUACUGUUUAUGUUUUCACCUUUCCUUAGUUGUGUCAAAUUUGCUUAUUUUAUUAUUAUUGAAAAUGAUGUAUUUUUAUACUUCAGAUAGCAUUUAAAUAUAUGCAACUUGCCUACAUCAAAUGAACUCUAGCAAAUCAUUAACUAAAGCAAUUUUUCAAUUGCCUAAAUGAAUAAAAGAAAAGAAUAAAAUAAGCAAUGAAAAUAAGUCAGAAUGCUUACAACAAAGUUAACACAAAAGCCUGAUCAUGGCAUCACCCGCUAAAAACACCAGAAUACUUUUUAAAUAGAUUGGCCGUCAUGGUUUUCGGGGAUUUCAAAUUUUAAAAGAUGACUUCAGUGUUGAGUAUAAGUUAGAUUUAGAGGAGGGGACAGAGAAGAUGGCGGAGUAGAAAGACGCUCGCAGGUCACCCUCUCCCACAAAUACACCAAGACCCACAUCUACAGACCCACUCAGCCAACCAGAGCACCUGUGGAACUCCGACAGAACAUCGCCCUCUUCAAAAGAUAAAGACGCCAAAAAUCUGGUAGGAGAAAAGGAAAAAAGAAAGAACAAAAGGCAAAGCAGCGUGGGACGG